This 73-nucleotide transfer RNA is filed under the name Ictidomys tridecemlineatus (thirteen-lined ground squirrel). RNAcentral describes it as "Spermophilus tridecemlineatus (thirteen-lined ground squirrel) tRNA". It matches the Rfam family "tRNA". From Rfam's summary of the family: Transfer RNA (tRNA) molecules are approximately 80 nucleotides in length. Their secondary structure includes four short double-helical elements and three loops (D, anti-codon, and T loops). Lineage: Eukaryota; Metazoa; Chordata; Mammalia; Rodentia; Sciuridae. The record is from Rfam by way of RNAcentral.
GGGGAUAUAGCUCAAUUGGUAGAGUGCUUGCCUCUCAUGCAUAGGGCCUUGGGUUCAAUCCCCAGCACCACCA